This 253-nucleotide ribosomal RNA is filed under the name uncultured bacterium. RNAcentral's name for it is "partial 16S ribosomal RNA". It matches the Rfam family "Bacterial small subunit ribosomal RNA", at positions 524 to 776 of the family's 1533-position model. The record is from RNAcentral.
UACGGAGGGUGCAAACGUUGCUCGGAAUUAUUGGGCGUAAAGCGCACGUAGGCGGUUCGCUAUGUCGGAUGUGAAAGCCUCGGGCUUAACCCGAGAAGGGCAUCCGAAACUGGCGGGCUUGAGUACGGAAGAGGGUCUCGGAAUUCCCGGUGUAGAGGUGAAAUUCGUAGAUAUCGGGAGGAACACCAGUGGCGAAGGCGGAGACCUGGGCCGAUACUGACGCUGAUGCGCGAAAGCUAGGGUAGCAAACGGG